GUGCCAGCAGCCGCGGUAAUACGGAGGGGGCCAGCGUUGUUCGGAAUUAUUGGGCGUAAAGGGCGCGUAGGCGGCCAUUCAAGUCGGACGUGAAAUCCCUCGGCUCAACCGGGGAACUGCGUCCGAUACUGUUUGGCUCGAGUCCUGGAGAGGGUAGUGGAAUUCCCAGUGUAGCGGUGAAAUGCGUAGAUACUGGGAGGAACACCGGUGGCGAAGGCGGCUACCUGGACAGGUACUGACGCUGAUGCGCGAAAGCUAGGGGAGCAAACAGGAUUAGAUACCCUCGUAGUCC
This 292-nucleotide ribosomal RNA is filed under the name uncultured bacterium. RNAcentral describes it as "partial 16S ribosomal RNA". It matches the Rfam family "Bacterial small subunit ribosomal RNA", at positions 505 to 796 of the family's 1533-position model. The record is from RNAcentral.